CGGGAACAAUAGCAGGGUUUCAGUCACGUGAUUAUGACGACGCGUGAGGGCGGGAAGAAGGCAGAUGGAGGGCAGGAAGUAAACAUGGAGAAUACGUCUAUAGAGGAAACCGUUGCAGAAAGUCAGUAUUGUACGGAUUUAGAUCCAGUUUCAAGACACAGAUACAAGGAGUUAAUUAACAGAUAUGUUGGACGUGACCCGUACCUCAUGAAGAUGAGUGAGUUUUCAGUAGAACUGAAAGAUUUACCGACAGUUGAGGCUGUUGACAUCACCAACUAUCUGGUCCUUCAGACAUCGUACCACACCAGACAGCAAAUGAAGGCCUAUAAAAGUCUGGAGGCAUACAACUUUUUUGUCAACGGAUGGGUCCACAACCUCGGUGUCAAACGGCUCCACGAUGAUCAUUGUUUGGUCUUCGCCAGAACUAUCAGAAUCGUGUUCUCAUGUAGGGGCAGUUCUUUUUUCCAUUGAAGUUGGGUUAAAGAUGCGAGAUUCAGCUUCCUGCACAACAGAGCAGUGCAAGUGGCUGAUGCCAUCACAUGUAAAAAAGUUAUGGAUGCAAACAUGAAGCACAAGCCAGAGGAGCAUAUGAGAAGCUGAUGGUUCGGGAGCAUGCAGGCUUCUCCUGUAUGGACAGUGGUCUCUGGCUGAACCCCAAGUGGCCAUACAUGGGGUCCUCCCCUGAUGGGAUUGUCGCUUGUGACUGUCACGGAACUGGCAUCUGCGAGAUUAAGGUAACAUUACAGUCUCUGUUGUAGUAAAUUCCCUAAAUCUCUAGUACGAGUCAAGUCUCAAGUCCUAAACUGAGCAAAAAGGCAGAAAUUAUCUUUGUUAAAGGAAAACGAAUCUUAACUUAGACAAAUUAAUACAUACCUGUCUU
Molecule: long non-coding RNA, 880 nt
Organism: Cyprinus carpio (common carp)
Lineage: Eukaryota; Metazoa; Chordata; Actinopteri; Cypriniformes; Cyprinidae
Exons: 3
Source: RefSeq, a predicted model, not a curated record